GGCGCGGUAGCAAAGCGGUUAUGCAGAGGACUGCAAAUCCUUCCAGGGCGGUUCGACUCCGCCCCGCGCCUCCA
Molecule: transfer RNA, 74 nt
Filed under: Azospira sp. I13
Lineage: Bacteria; Pseudomonadati; Pseudomonadota; Betaproteobacteria; Rhodocyclales; Rhodocyclaceae
Also listed under: 1 other name
Description: tRNA-Cys
Rfam family: tRNA
About the family: Transfer RNA (tRNA) molecules are approximately 80 nucleotides in length. Their secondary structure includes four short double-helical elements and three loops (D, anti-codon, and T loops).
Source: RNAcentral